Molecule: RNA transcript, 1689 nt
Organism: Triticum dicoccoides
Lineage: Eukaryota; Viridiplantae; Streptophyta; Magnoliopsida; Poales; Poaceae
Exons: 3
Source: RefSeq, a predicted model, not a curated record
UGUCGGUUGGCUGAAUGCGUGGUGCACAGGCAGUAGUAGCAGACACGAGCUGUUUACGCUGCUUUUCUCUGUAUUUUCUCUACUACUAAUAAACAAUCAAACAUAAUUUUUUUAAACGCACCCCAUAAAUAUACACGAACCCAUUACUACCGCAAGAUUAGGCCCAUUAAACUUAAUCCAACCGCUAGGCUUCAUCUAAUCCGUUCUACGUGUGCAUUUAGCAAUUUAUGUUGGCUGACCUUACUCCACCAUCCGCUACCUCUCUUCCGUGAUUAGCCCCGACCUUCGCUACCUCUCCCGUGAUUAGCGCCGACCUUCUCCACUCAAUCCCUCCCAGUAGAAUCCCUUCUGCCGCUACUAUGCAAGCCAUCGCCGGGGACGCACGAGAUGCCUGUCGUCACCACGCACACGAGCCACGAUGGGGAGAGACCGAGAGAGGGAGAGGUGGCCAGCCAUGGUAAGGUGUCGUUCAUCCGGCGAGCGUGGAGAAAUUGGGACGGGAGGAAACAAAGAAACCCCCACGCGCCCACGCCCACCACUGGAACCGUCGCCCCGCACCAGAUGCCUACACGGAUGGUGGCCGAGCGGAGGAGGGGGAGGCCGAAGUGCUCGCCGUCCCCUUCCGCAGUUCGGCGCUACCCGCACGCUGGAGGGGGUCCCCAGCACAGACCGGAUCCCCAUCUAUGGUCGGACGCUUCGACCUCCUGGGUAGGCAUGGCAAGUCCCGCAUCCGCGUCUGACACCGUCCCGCCUCGGCCGACGGCCACCUCUUCGCCGAGUGGAGCGUCACCGUCAGUGUCGUCUCCGACUGCCAUCGUCGUCACCGACUCCAUCAAGAACACCGUGUAUGUGAAGGCAAGGAGUGUUUCCUGGGAAGGCAUUUCACCUCACUAUACCCGCAGGUACGUUCCUCCCCACACACCCGCCGCCGCCUCAUGUCCAUCUCGCUGCGCCCUUCCCAUUAUGGUGUUUCACUUUCACAUCUCUCCUCUGAGGCACGGGCGUAGCGAGGCGCGAUGGCCACUGUGUGGCGUGCGCGGCUCGGCGGGCUGAGGGAGCGCGGGGUUAAUGGCCAGAGGGAGUGCAGCGGCCGGAGGUGAAGGGCGAGCGUGAACUGCGGUCGAGGUCCAUACUUGCAUUCCCCCCUGUCUUUUUGUGUCAACUAGCUGCCAUCUAUUCGCCAACAUCUGCUGUUGUGCGCAAGAUUUAGUUAUCGGAGUGCGCACACCACGUGCUUGUGUUGCUGUUGUGAGGCCAUGGUGGAGGAGGGGGUGGCCCUGUUCUAUGGCGGCGCUGUUGGGGAGAGGCUGGUGGAGGACGUGCAGAUUGCGGUGACUCGACUGAGACAGGCAAUAAGCAUCGGAUUAUACAUCGUAUUCGGAGCUAUAGCUUUUAAUAUUAAUGUAUUUUCAAAGUUGCUAGCCUAUGCUUAUAUGGGGAGCUACAGCUUGUAGAUGUAUUCAGAAUGAUUUUCACGAAGUUGUGACAUUGUCUAACAAUUUGACAUUUGCUCACUGGGAAUUGAAUGAAAACAUCUACUAAGAAAUUAAAUGUGUAUACAAGUGAGCAUUCAUCUCCUUCUUUAUGUUCUCUUCCGAAAUGUGUUUUUUAAGCUUAUCAAUUUCGUCAGUAUAGUUGGAGAGUUAGUUUAUGUGCUUAUUCCCAGUUGACUAUGCCCAAUUCACUUAA